AAUGACGUCAUGUUCUGACGCUAAACACGACGCAACCAAAAACACUCUCCGAUACUGUGAAGGUAAAGAGUCAGGCAGCCAGAGGUUCUCAGCUACAGUACCUGGACAUUUACCUGUGUGUCGUGUACAAGCUGUGAGAAGACCUGGACUGUGCAGUGUGACACAUCACCACCAGUGUGGCCCCACAGGAUGACAAGGCACCAAACAGAAAGGGCAGGACAGAGAUGUGCGACAUUUUUA
Long non-coding RNA from Pomacea canaliculata, 240 nucleotides. RefSeq lists it as uncharacterized. The record is from RefSeq and is a predicted model, not a curated record. The transcript has 3 exons. NCBI's taxonomy places the organism in Eukaryota, Metazoa, Mollusca, Gastropoda, Architaenioglossa, Ampullariidae.